This 322-nucleotide unclassified non-coding RNA is filed under the name Hevea brasiliensis (rubber tree). The record is from RNAcentral. Lineage: Eukaryota; Viridiplantae; Streptophyta; Magnoliopsida; Malpighiales; Euphorbiaceae.
AGGGAUUAACUUUCUUAUGUUUGGUGUCUUAUAAAUUAUCAUGUAUUUUUUAAAUGAAGUGAAACCAUUUUGACUCUUAUCCUGUUUUCAAAUUCAUUUGCUAAUUCUGCUAUUUCUCAAAUUAUUUAGUUUAGGUACAACCAUUUCCAUAUUAUUAAAGAUAUAGAACUUCAAAUAAAAUUUUUAGGUUGUAAACAUGUCAAGUGUGGUUUUGGAAAAUAAUUUCAUAAGUUUUAUGGAAUGCAUUUGUUCUGAACAUCCUACAAGUGAAAUCAUGGUUGAAUCCACCAUAGGAACUGAGGGAGGACACUGCAGUGUUUUA